UGGGUCGGCAAGACGGUCGCGUCAGUCCAGGCUCUUCGGAGCCGGGGCUGCCGAGGAACGUCCGGGCUCCACAGAGCAGGGCGGUGGGUAACACCCACCCGGGGUAACCCGCGAGACAGUGCCACAGAAAGUAGACCGCCGCAGGCCCCAGGCCUGCGGUAAGGGUGAAACGGUGGUGUAAGAGACCACCAGCGGCCAGGGUGACCUGGCUGGCUCGGUAAACCUCGCCCGGAGCAAGGUCGAACAGGAAACGCCAAGGCGGCUCGCCGAGUUUCCGGGUAGACCGCUAGAGGGCUGCGGCAACGUAGUCCCAAGAUAGAUGGCCGUCCAGGGCGCAAGCCUGGACAGAACCCGGCGUACCAGCCGGCCCAUUCC
This 375-nucleotide RNase P RNA is filed under the name Cryobacterium inferilacus. RNAcentral describes it as "RNase P RNA component class A". It matches the Rfam family "Bacterial RNase P class A". Rfam says of the family: Ribonuclease P (RNase P) is a ubiquitous endoribonuclease, found in archaea, bacteria and eukarya as well as chloroplasts and mitochondria. Its best characterised activity is the generation of mature 5'-ends of tRNAs by cleaving the 5'-leader elements of precursor-tRNAs. Lineage: Bacteria; Bacillati; Actinomycetota; Actinomycetes; Micrococcales; Microbacteriaceae. The record is from RNAcentral.